UGAAUAGGCAAAAUACCCGAAAGAGUAUGACGCAAAGCUAUAGGACCUGAAAUAUAGUAUGGUAGCCAGUUGCAA
Molecule: non-coding RNA, 75 nt
Filed under: pig gut metagenome
Description: Cyclic di-GMP-I riboswitch
Rfam family: c-di-GMP-I riboswitch aptamer
About the family: GEMM was predicted in a large-scale screen for bacterial structured RNA regulatory elements. Genes associated with GEMM are involved in a diverse array of functions, including chemotaxis regulation, signal transduction, secretion and chitin.
Source: RNAcentral